AGCUCAUUAAAUUGUUUUGUGUUUUGCUUGGUUCAGAAAAUAAAAUACAUUUCAGCAUUAGGAAUUCAGCAUCUUAUCCAAAGUGCUUCUAGACCCACACUGGACUGUGACUGUCAUUCGACUUAUGUCUCUACCCACACAACCAAUAUCCUGACCAGGUCACGGAUACUGUGGUCUGGACGCAGUUUUCCCCAGUUGACAACAGAGGUCAGCAGAAAGUAUCCCCAGCCCGUCCCAUUCGCCUUUGAGAGGACGUAUGGGGUCUUAGGCUUUUAUUUUGAAGUGUGUGGAGAGAGAGAGCGAGAAAGAGCGAGAGAGAGCGAGAGAGAGCGCGCACAUGAAUGCGCGUUAUCAGCGGCAGACGCAGAGGGAAGCGCACACACAAGGGAGGGUUUUUUAAAUCGUCCACGGACCACUUGGCUUCUCGGACCUAAUAAACAUGCACCUCCUGGGUAUCUCUCUCCUGCUCACAUACCUUCUCUACACCACCAUCGCCAGCGACUACUAUGAUUACUACGAGCAGUCUACAGACGAGCCGCCAGUGGCCACAGGUGAACGUGAAGUGCGUUGUAGACCCUGUGGAUCCACCUGCUGACGUGACCUGACGUACUUGAUGGUACUGAUGAUAAGGGUCUGUAGGAGGACAGGCUGGCCCGCAUGGAGCCAUUAGACUUUAAAUUCAUAUAUUAUAUUCUUUACUUUGAAAGGGAUAAGCACGGGUUUUCCAAACGAUUGUCAGUUCACCCGUGAGUGAAUAAGUAACUUUAGCCAUUUAUAUUAGACCACUGUAAUAAUUGUUCAUUUUAGUAAAGUUCGGAACAAGAACCUUUUGAGACAGAUCUGCAAAUCAAUGUAAUUGUUAUACUUUUCUGAAAGGCUAUUUGAUGUAUAAAAAGUAUAAACUAAGUAUAAAUAUAUUCUGGUAAUCAAAUUGUAUACAAUUUGAUGUAUAAAAAGUAUAAAGAAAGUAUAAACAUAUUCUGGUGACCAAAACCAUUCCCAGAAAUGUGUCUGACCCUACCAACAUAAUAUGUCUGUUCACAUAGAUAAUGCAUCAAGUCCCCUGACACCCAAAAACAGUGACCAUGUCCUUUAGGGAGUGAACUAACUAGUCAAACCAAACCUCUCUCAUCGUCACUAGUGAUGCUUUGACCGUAAGCAGAGACAAUAAAAUGUUUUAUGUGUCACA
This 1189-nucleotide long non-coding RNA is filed under the name Betta splendens (Siamese fighting fish). Its description in RNAcentral is "lncRNA (ENSBSLG00000023625.1)". The record is from RNAcentral. Lineage: Eukaryota; Metazoa; Chordata; Actinopteri; Anabantiformes; Osphronemidae.